CACCAGCGCCACAAGUGGGGAUCGAUGUUACUUGGCCUAAAGCGUCCGUAGCUGGUUGUGUAAAUCCCCUGUGAAAUUGUCUCGCUUAACGUGACAGCGGGCAGGGGACACUGCACGACUUGGGACCGGGAGGAGUCAGAAGUAUGCCGAGGGGAGCGGUAAAAUGCUAUAAUCCCCGGUAGACUACCUGUGGCGAAGGCGUCUGACUAGUACGGAUCCGACAGUGAGGGACGAAAGCUAGGGGAGCGAACCG
RNAcentral lists this ribosomal RNA (253 nucleotides) under uncultured archaeon. RNAcentral's name for it is "partial 16S ribosomal RNA". It matches the Rfam family "Archaeal small subunit ribosomal RNA", at positions 474 to 726 of the family's 1478-position model. The record is from RNAcentral.